Oryzias melastigma (Indian medaka) is the source of this 1013-nucleotide long non-coding RNA. RefSeq lists it as uncharacterized. The transcript is spliced from 2 exons. Lineage: Eukaryota; Metazoa; Chordata; Actinopteri; Beloniformes; Adrianichthyidae. The record is from RefSeq and is a predicted model, not a curated record.
CUGAGAGUCAUGUUCUUCCAACUCCUCUGUGUUCAAAUCUUUUUCAUCGCUGAUAUAUAUGAAGAUUCAAUACUAACCCAGCAUGCAGCGCCCAGCAGCUUGAUUCAGAUGCCCAGCUCGUCUCCCCAGCCAGCCUUCUGGAGUAGCUCCAUCAGCAGCGUCUAGACUCCGGAGUCUAAUUUAUCUUUCAGUCUUCUGGGAUAUUGCCAGAUAAUGGUCGUCACUCUGAACAAAAAAGGAAUUCUAAAGCCCUUUGCAUGACUAUCUGACUAUUUGAAAUAAAUACUCCUUUUUUUUAACCUCAGAAAGCCUUUUUCUUCAGAUGGCUUGACUUUGCCUAAUGGGUGUGGUCUUGGGCAAGCGUUACUUUGACAGUGAGCAAAAGGGGUCUGUGUGCCUGGGGCGUUCCUUUCAUUAAAGUUCUGGCUGCAACAUUCAACUCUCCAAUCCCGGCGUAGCCUGACAUGCCCUCAGAGGCCCCGAGUUUCAACUCUUGGCGCACUGUUACCACACUGUCAGGUUUGACAGGAUACAGCGUCAGUGUUCGACCCGUCAACUCUGAAAACCUAACAGUCAUUUUUACUGAUAUGCUGGCGCAGGAGAUAAAAGAAAGCAUUUACAGAAAUAGUCAUAGUGUAAAGAUUCAUGACUAGGUAUUAAAACACAUUCAAAAUAUACUUAAUUAUAAAAUACAAGUCAUAAAUGCUGCCAACUAAUAAACUUGUUUUCCUGUCGAUUAAAGAAUGUUAGCUAGAUUAAUCUUUGAAAGCCCAUAUAUAUUAGGAUUUACCGAAUUUUCCGCACUACAGGAUUAUGAGGCACACCUUGAAUGAACAGUCGAUUUUCAAGCUUGUUAGUGAUGUGCUACACGUUAGCCAUGCUAGCCACAUUAGCAUACCCAUAACUCCCAACUCUUGUUAUAACACAUAAAAAAUACAGAAUGAUACCGCUAAAAUAAACGUUACCGUGAACAUGCUAACUCCAACCUUGUUAUUAACAUGUAAAAAAAAAAA